GGAUUGCGCGCUACCUGCAGUCGAGCGGAACGAGUUGUCUGAACCUUCGGGGAACGAUAACGGCGUCGAGCGGCGGACGGGUGAGUAAUGCCUAGGAAAUUGCCCUGAUGUGGGGGAUAACCAUUGGAAACGAUGGCUAAUACCGCAUGAUGCCUACGGGCCAAAGAGGGGGACCUUCGGGCCUCUCGCGUCAGGAUAUGCCUAGGUGGGAUUAGCUAGUUGGUGAGGUAAGGGCUCACCAAGGCGACGAUCCCUAGCUGGUCUGAGAGGAUGAUCAGCCACACUGGAACUGAGACACGGUCCAGACUCCUACGGGAGGCAGCAGUGGGGAAUAUUGCACAAUGGGCGCAAGCCUGAUGCAGCCAUGCCGCGUGUGUGAAGAAGGCCUUCGGGUUGUAAAGCACUUUCAGUCGUGAGGAAGGUAGUGUAGUUAAUAGCUGCAUUAUUUGACGUUAGCGACAGAAGAAGCACCGGCUAACUCCGUGCCAGCAGCCGCGGUAAUACGGAGGGUGCGAGCGUUAAUCGGAAUUACUGGGCGUAAAGCGCAUGCAGGUGGUUUGUUAAGUCAGAUGUGAAAGCCCGGGGCUCAACCUCGGAAUUGCAUUUGAAACUGGCAGACUAGAGUACUGUAGAGGGGGGUAGAAUUUCAGGUGUAGCGGUGAAAUGCGUAGAGAUCUGAAGGAAUACCGGUGGCGAAGGCGGCCCCCUGGACAGAUACUGACACUCAGAUGCGAAAGCGUGGGGAGCAAACAGGAUUAGAUACCCUGGUAGUCCACGCCGUAAACGAUGUCUACUUGGAGGUUGUGGCCUUGAGCCGUGGCUUUCGGAGCUAACGCGUUAAGUAGACCGCCUGGGGAGUACGGUCGCAAGAUUAAAACUCAAAUGAAUUGACGGGGGCC
Molecule: ribosomal RNA, 899 nt
Filed under: Vibrio parahaemolyticus
Lineage: Bacteria; Pseudomonadati; Pseudomonadota; Gammaproteobacteria; Vibrionales; Vibrionaceae
Description: bacterial SSU rRNA
Rfam family: Bacterial small subunit ribosomal RNA
Source: RNAcentral